This is a long non-coding RNA of Salarias fasciatus (jewelled blenny), 1385 nucleotides long. RefSeq lists it as uncharacterized. The record is from RefSeq and is a predicted model, not a curated record. The transcript is spliced from 3 exons. Lineage: Eukaryota; Metazoa; Chordata; Actinopteri; Blenniiformes; Blenniidae.
ACCUGAUGAAGAACAAAUUUUAUUCCAGAACAGAGAAUUCAUUGAUUAGAAGUUUGAUAAUUCUACUUCAUAAUCUCUGUAUGUUCGUCAGUAAAUUCAAGAUGGCGUCCAAAAUGGCCGCCAAAUGUAUUUUUUGCUACAAUCUGACUCCAGUUCCUCAGUGAUGGAUCAUAUAAUAGCUCUAUGUGACCAGGUUCAUUACUUUUUAUCAUGAGUUUGUUUUUUACCUGUCCUGUCCAGCAUGGAGGCAGCAGAAUGGGAGUCUGGCUGCUGUUAUGUUCCCGACAGAUUUGCUUUUUUAAGAGGUGCUGGAUUCAAAUAUAGUUGGGUUUUGAAGUCACUUUCAAGAUAAAGUGGUGAUUCAGGACAGAAACCAAGAUGAACGCCAAACGUACUUUUCCUUGUAUUUUUGACCACAAGUGUCCCGACUGUCCAGAUUUCUGUUUUGUGGGUCACAGAAUGCUCUGGAACUAUUCCAAGUCUCUUGUUUGAGUUAAUACCAAUAUUACCAGAAUGCUUUGUAAAAUCUUCACCCUCUGCGCUGCGCUGUGAGAACAGGAGGUUCAGAAUACCUCCAUUUAACUUUGAAGGUCUUAUUUUGAAAGAGCCAUUUCACCCCCGGAAAUAAUUUGUUGACCAAAAAUGAGUCACUGUAUAGAUUGUUAGAAUAUUCUGCAGAGGAAGCUGUUUGGGGGAAAAGACUUGAAAUGCAUUGACUGCUUGAAGUGAACAGAACACAGUGACGUUAUUGAUGAUAUGAAGGUUCACAGACGUUCCAGACAGAUGAAGAUGUUCCUCUCUCAGCAGCUCUGGUCCCUGUUUCAGCGUUCUCAGCAGGACUGACUGUGAGUCCCAGCAGAUCUCAGUUCCUUCAAGGAGACUCAGUGUCUCUGAGCUGUGAGGAGGACGGAUGGACAGUUUGGAGGAAGACCAGCAGAGAACAGAGGAGUUCAUGUGGAGACUGGGGGGAAGAAGCUGCUGGUUCCUCCUGUAGAAUCAGUCACAUGUUCAGCUGGGACAGUGGAGUUUACUGGUGUGAGUCCAGAGAGGGAGCAGCUGGAAGCAGCGUCAACAUCACUGUAGCUGAUACAGUGGUCCUCCAGAGUCCAGUCCUCCCUGUGAUGGAGGGACAGGACGUCACUCUGGGUUGUAGAACCAGCGCUCCCUCCACCCUCUCAGCUGAGUUCUUUAAAGACGGCGUCUCCAUCGGGACCGAGUCCACAGGUCACAUGACCCUCCGCCAUGUUUCCCGCUCUGCUGAAGGCCUCUACAGGUGUAGCUUCAGAGGUGUUGGAGAGUCUCCACCCAGCUGGAUCUCUGUCUCAGGGAACCACAAGACAGAUCCUCCUCCUGGUUCCUCCUCUGAUCCUCCUCCUGGUUCCUCC